CAGAGGGGCGAUGUUUUGCUAACUGAGAUUGAUGCCUCUUUCUGACGGCGUGCGUCUCGGGUCAAAUAAAUGAUCAAUAUUUCUAUAUUUUAUUUGGAUAGGCAAGGAGGUAAGGUAGGGCGGGCCAGGCCCACUAAGGCCCGUCCUAACGGCGGCCGUGUGUAUAGCUUAGACCUAACAGACCUUCACCAGGCCCUCUUCCUCUUUUUCGUGACAAGGAUGCCAUCUAGAGGAAGUAGCUAAUCAUCCUUCAACAACAUUGAAAUUCCAGUUUUGAGUGAGCUAUAGAGUCGGAUACAAUCACCAGACAAUUUUAAACCAUUCUAUGGUUGAUUCCUAAUAAUGUGACUCUUAUUUAGAAGGAAAUGCAUCUGGUAUUUUGCUGAUGUUUUAAGUGACCUGUUGGAGUUUUAACCUAGGGUUUCUUGCACUUCAGAAGAGCGUGUAAGCCUGUUAUCACAGAUAUAUAUUUUUUUCUUCUGCUGGGUGUACUGCAGAAGCAUGGAGUUUUGAGCAGAGAGUACUAGUUAUUCCGAUUAAUUGAUUUAGUUGCAAACGGUUGUAAAAUGUUGGGAUCCUAAACAACCCCCCGGUUUAUAAACUGAAGGUGUAAUACUGCUCCGCUACCAGUAGAUGUCACUAUACGAUUACUCUCAUACUCGUGUCUCCGUUCAUUCACGGCUAUGACGUCUACCAAGAGCAGACAUGUUGAUAGACAGGUGUUCGUGUCCCUUGGACUGGAGGUGACCUUUCCUGUAUUACAAAAACGUUAUUUCAGGGCACUUGGGAGCUACGAUCCGAUCAACCAUAACAUACCAGGCGGGGCACAAACUGGUUGAAUCAAUGUUGUUUCAACGUAAUUUGUCAACAUAUUGUGACGUAGAAUCUAUCUUUGAAAGACAUUUGGAUUUGCUAAAAGUCAUCAACCAGUACUGUUUUUAUAUCAUUUCUACCAGCGUUGCAAACAUUGAAAUUAGGGUCAACCUUCAACUUAAAUACAAUGACUUAACCUGACUAACAGGUUGUUACAUCAAUCAAAUUUCAACAUAAUCAUCAAACUAAGUAUAUGUUGAAAUUGCAAUGAAAAUUCCACAUAGAAUGGUACAUUUGUUUUUAUGUAGAAUCUACAUGGAAAUUGCAACACAUUCAUGUCAUGUGGUGUUGUAAAUACACUACAGGUCAAAAGUUUACAACACCUACUCAUUCAAGG
This 1210-nucleotide long non-coding RNA is filed under the name Salmo salar (Atlantic salmon). RNAcentral's name for it is "lncRNA (ENSSSAG00000103973.1, ENSSSAG00020061127.1)". The record is from RNAcentral. Lineage: Eukaryota; Metazoa; Chordata; Actinopteri; Salmoniformes; Salmonidae.